AUGAGAUUAGGGCUUUUUAAGCCUUACCUCCAACCCUUUGUCUACCUUACCACUGUUGCCUGGGCGGGUCGCGACCUCGUGUCGCCGUCGGCGUAUUAAAGUGCGCUCUCGCGUGCCCGCCCCUGGGCCAAACCUUUAAAACCCUUUGUAAAAACUAGUCUUCUGAGAGUAAAUUAAAUACUUCA
This 185-nucleotide unclassified non-coding RNA is filed under the name uncultured fungus. RNAcentral describes it as "sequence contains ITS1, 5.8S rRNA gene". Lineage: Eukaryota; Fungi. The record is from RNAcentral.